GGGGGUGAACCAGUUUCGACGGGAGAGGCUGGAGCCGCGUGGCAGGCCGUGGCGCUCGGCCACGUUAAAACGAGCAAAACAAUAGGUGACAACAACACCUCCCCUGCUUACGCUUUCGCCGCCUAAGGCUGUGUAGCGUAGGUGCUGGGCCAUAGUAGCCCAGCCGUCCAUCCCAUCCGGCGCUGCCCGGGCGGAAUGAUGGGCGUCACUAAUGGCAGCGUGCGGUCCUCCAGACGCCGAUAAGGCGGGCCAAAGAGACAUCAGGCUGGGCAAACGCGUACCAUGCCGGUCGGGGCUACGUUCGCCGAGAUUCAACGACUGGAUAAGCCUGUAGAAGCGUGUCUUCGAAUCUUUCGGACGAGGGUUGCGAAGCCCUCCACCUCCACUC
RNAcentral lists this transfer-messenger RNA (388 nucleotides) under Anaerolineae bacterium. It matches the Rfam family "transfer-messenger RNA". Rfam says of the family: Bacterial tmRNA, also known as 10Sa RNA or SsrA, is named for its dual tRNA and mRNA-like properties. Its role is to liberate the mRNA from a stalled ribosome. To accomplish this part of the tmRNA is used as a reading frame that ends in a translation stop signal. Lineage: Bacteria; Bacillati; Chloroflexota; Anaerolineae. RNAcentral also lists the same sequence under 1 other name. The record is from RNAcentral.